This 503-nucleotide ribosomal RNA is filed under the name uncultured bacterium. RNAcentral's name for it is "bacterial SSU rRNA". It matches the Rfam family "Bacterial small subunit ribosomal RNA", at positions 8 to 507 of the family's 1533-position model. The record is from RNAcentral.
AGAGUUUGAUCCUGGCUCAGAUUGAACGCUGGCGGAAUGCUUUACACAUGCAAGUCGAACGGCAGCACGGGUGCUUGCACCUGGUGGCGAGUGGCGAACGGGUGAGUAAUGCACCGGAACGUAUCCAAUAAUGGGGGAUAACGCACCGAAAGGUGUGCUAAUACCGCAUACGCCUGAGGGGGAAGCGGGGGAUCGUAAGACCUCGCGUUAAUGGAGCGGCCGAUGCCGGAUUAGCUAGUUGGUGAGGUAAAGGCUCACCAAGGCGACGAUCCGUAGCUGGUCUGAGAGGACGACCAGCCACACUGGAACUGAGACACGGUCCGGACUCCUACGGGAGGCAGCAGUGGGGAUUUUGGACAAUGGGCGCAAGCCUGAUCCAGCCAUUCCGCGUGAGUGAAGAAGGCCUUCGGGUUGUAAAGCUCUUUCGCAAGGAAAGAAAACUUAUCUCCUAAUACGAGGUGAGGUUGACGGUACCUUGAUAAGAAGCACCGGCUAACUACGUG